AAGUCGUAACAAGGUUUCCGUAGGUGAACCUGCGGAAGGAUCAUUAACACGUAUCCAAACGUUAAAACCCCCCCCGUGAACCUUCAUCCUGCUCUUGUAACCCGCGUAGUUCGCAAUCUCUGAUAAAUCAUAGCCCGGAAAGUUGUAGUGAUUCAGAGACCUCUGGCUACGUGCGAACAUUGGAACAGUUACAAUCGAGCGGUAGUUCUAUAGGCAAUGUUUCCCCAAGCAGUCAGUGUCGGAAAGUGUAAGACCGUACACUCGGGCAGGAGCUUUGCCAAAGGGUCCCCAUGCCCCCUAAUAACCCCACAGUUUAAUGUGAAGCUCAAUGUAAUACAUUGGGUAAAAAAACCGAACAACAACUGUUAACAAUGGAUAUCUUGGUUCUC
Molecule: unclassified non-coding RNA, 389 nt
Filed under: fungal sp.
Lineage: Eukaryota; Fungi
Description: partial internal transcribed spacer region
Rfam family: Eukaryotic small subunit ribosomal RNA (bases 1-46)
Source: RNAcentral